Non-coding RNA from Potamilus streckersoni, 81 nucleotides. The record is from the annotation of a GenBank genome assembly. Lineage: Eukaryota; Metazoa; Mollusca; Bivalvia; Unionida; Unionidae.
UCUUCGGUAGCCUAGUGGUUAGAGCGUCCGCCUCGGAUGCGGGAGGUCAUGAGUUUGAUCCUUGCUUAGUCAUACCAAAGA